Molecule: ribosomal RNA, 500 nt
Filed under: uncultured bacterium
Lineage: Bacteria
Description: bacterial SSU rRNA
Rfam family: Bacterial small subunit ribosomal RNA
Source: RNAcentral
UGGAUAACAUCCUGAUGGUUUCGGCCAUAAGGAUCAAAGAUAGCCUCUACAUGUAAGCUAUUGUACAGGGAUGAGCCCGCGUACCAUUAGCUAGUUGGUGGGGUAAGAGCCUACCAAGGCAACAAUGGUUAGCUGGUCUGAGAGGAUGAUCAGCCACACUGGAACUGAAACACGGUCCAGACUCCUACGGGAGGCAGCAGUGAGGAAUUUUGCGCAAUGGGGGAAACCCUGACGCAGCAACGCCGCGUGAGUGAAGAAGGCUUUCGGGUCGUAAAGCUCUGUCAAGAGGGAAGAAAGUGGGAGAUGGUAAUACUGUUUUCUAUUGACGGUACCUCUGAAGGAAGCACCGGCUAACUCCGUGCCAGCAGCCGCGGUAAUACGGGGGGUGCAAGCGUUAUUCGGAUUUAUUGGGCGUAAAGAGCGCGUAGGCGGUUUAUCAAGUCAGAUGUGAAAGCCCUGGGCUCAACCUGGGAAGUGCAUUUGAAACUAGUAGACUUGAG